Molecule: long non-coding RNA, 307 nt
Organism: Ipomoea triloba (trilobed morning glory)
Lineage: Eukaryota; Viridiplantae; Streptophyta; Magnoliopsida; Solanales; Convolvulaceae
Exons: 2
Source: RefSeq, a predicted model, not a curated record
CUUCUCCAUUGUCUGCUAAUUUCUUCCCCAUUUCUGUCUCUCUCUCUAUACAACUAUGAAUUGUAUGCGCAUAUAUGUACUGAGACAUACAGAGCAGAGCAGGUAGAUUAAGUAUACGGAAUGAUGGAAUCCGAGAGGAGGGUUUUGAAGGAGGUAUCAUGAGGACAACGAAUCAAUUUUUCUUGACUGAAUUUCAUUUUUGGUCUUAUUAUUAUAGAGACAUGUACACUUUUAGUCCACCUUACUUAAUUUUAUCGUAUUGCAAGUUAACAACAACUAUUAUUUAACGUGUUUCACAUUUAGUCCA